GACGAACGCUGGCGGCGUGCUUAACACAUGCAAGUCGAACGGAAAGGCCCUGCUUGCCGGGUACUCGAGUGGCGAACGGGUGAGUAACACGUGGGUGAUCUGCCCUGCACUUCGGGAUAAGCUUGGGAAACUGGGUCUAAUGCCGGAUAGGAGCCAUCUUUAGUGUGGUGGUUGGAAAGUUUUUUCGGUGUAGGAUGAGCUCGCGGCCUAUCAGCUUGUUGGUGGGGUAAUGGCCUACCAAGGCGGCGACGGGUAGCCGGCCUGAGAGGGUGUACGGCCACAGUGGGACUGAGAUACGGCCCAGACUCCUACGGGAGGCAGCAGUGGGGAAUAUUGCACAAUGGGCGCAAGCCUGAUGCAGCGACGCCGCGUGGGGGAUGAAGGCCUUCGGGUUGUAAACUCCUUUCGCUAGGGACGAAGCUUUGUUGUGACGGUACCUAGAUAAGAAGCACCGGCUAACUACGU
This 465-nucleotide ribosomal RNA is filed under the name uncultured bacterium. RNAcentral describes it as "partial 16S ribosomal RNA". It matches the Rfam family "Bacterial small subunit ribosomal RNA", at positions 28 to 506 of the family's 1533-position model. The record is from RNAcentral.